GAUGAACGCUGGCGGCGUGCCUAAUACAUGCAAGUCGAGCGAACAGACGAGGCGCUUGCUCCUCUGACGUUAGCGGCGGACGGGUGAGUAACACGUGGAUCACCUACCUAUAAGACUGGGAUCACUUCGGGAAACCGGAGCUAAUACCGGAUAAUCUAUUGAACCGCAUGGUUCAAUAGUGAAAGACGGUUUUGCUGUCACUUCUAGAUGGAUCCGCGCCGCAUUAGCUAGUUGGUAAGGUAACGGCUUACCAAGGCAACGAUGCGUAACCGACGUGAGGGGCGGAUAGGCCACAUGGGAGCUUGAACGCGGUCCAUGCGCCUAAGGGAGGCAGCAGUAGGGAAUCUUACGCAGCAGUCGAAAGCCUUGCGGAGCGACGCGACGUGAGUGAUGAAAGUGUUCGGAGCGUAAUACUGUGUUAUGAGGUAAGAACAAAUGUGUAAGUAACUAUGCACGGCGUGACGGUACCUAAUCAAAAAGCCACGGCUAACUACGUG
RNAcentral lists this ribosomal RNA (497 nucleotides) under uncultured bacterium. Its description in RNAcentral is "partial 16S ribosomal RNA". It matches the Rfam family "Bacterial small subunit ribosomal RNA", at positions 28 to 507 of the family's 1533-position model. The record is from RNAcentral.